This 300-nucleotide long non-coding RNA is filed under the name Homo sapiens (human). RNAcentral describes it as "lncAB460.1". The record is from RNAcentral. Lineage: Eukaryota; Metazoa; Chordata; Mammalia; Primates; Hominidae.
CUUCAAAAAAUCUAAAGAAAAUGUUCUUUAUAAGAAACAGGAAGGCACCCCUGAGGGGCUGUAUCUCUAAUGAACCAUGGCUGUCAUCAGGAAAAUGGUUGGGAGAUUUCUCAAUCCCUGAAAGGGAUGAGGUUGGGGGAGUUGCCCAGAGGAAUCCCUGUUCCCACUGAUUUUUAUUAGCAAAACAUCCUGUGUCUUUUGGAGUACGAUGUGUAAGUGCCCAUUGGGUGGCCUGUUGGUCACUGUGCAGCAGUCUGCUCCCCAAUAAAGCGUGCUCUUUCACAAACAAAAAAAAAAAAA